GCUUGCUUUAACAAUGCUUCCACUCCUUAGUAUGCUACCCCUUUUGGAGAAGCAACCUGGUUCCUAGAACUCCACCAAAACGUCAGAGCAUCCUGCCACACACCAAACCAGUCACAGACAAAAAAAUCUGCACUGCACCAGAAUUUAAAUUCGCAUACAAGGUUUGGUGGUAGAAAUUUGAGGUCAAACAAGGUGAUUUCAAGUAGUUUUAAGCUUUGAAGCAAUGGAGGGACACAAAAGGAACCUAGGAGAGGCACUAGAUCAGAUUAAACACACAAGAAAAAGCAAAAUCGAAGAGCCAAAAGUAGUGCGGUAAACUGUUUGAUAAUUUUGCAAACUGUUUGAUGAAAGUCCCCAAUGAGCUGCGGAUUUAGUGAUUUUCUGAUUUUUUAUUCUUCCAAACUGGAUUGCAGGGGUUUGGUUGCUUUUUAUUGUUUGUUUACAUUUGUAUAAGCUUUGAAAUGUGUUUGUAAACAAAAUACCCAGCUUUUGCCAAUCCAAAACCGAAAUCUAAUUAUGCACAGUUGCAAACAACAAGAAAAACUGCAUUCUGCACUAACAAAUGCAUGUGAAAAUGGUGCUUUGAGAUGCAAUUUUCACAGAUGUGUUUAGACACCUAAAGUGAUGAUUGGAGCAACUUUGGAGGCAUAUUUUGAAGGUGUAUAAACUGUCAAACAGCAAGGAAACAAUCUGCAACCAAAAAUCACUAGUUCUCUUCCAAAAUUAAGCAAAUUUGAUGGUUUAAGAAGUGAAUUUGAAUACCAACUCUAUUUUGACCAAAUGAACAGUGCAUACAGGUUUGGAAUGACAAAAUCAACUUGUUGAAGCAUGCAAAACUCAUAGAAACAAGCUGAUGCAGUACAGGACAACUGCAGUUGUGAUUUAUGCCCAAUAAAGACACUAAAUCUGCACCAAAAUGAGAAAAGUGGCAAUAAAAUUGGAACUGCAGUGGCUAACUUCAAUCGCAGUGAUUCAAAUGGUCAAAUGACACUUCAAAAAGGUUUGUAUCAUCAAAUGUAACAUGUUCAAAGCAUUGAAACAGCCAAGACAUGUGCAGAGCAGAAUUUGACUACUUCACUUCCCAAAAUGCACUAGAAUUUGGUGUUUUGGUGUAUGUGUUUCGGCUAAAUGCACACAAUGACCAUAUGAACAGUAGAAUCAAGUUUCAAUUCACCAAAUAAGAUUGCACAAUCAAGCAAACAGUACCAAAACACUCAGAAUCUCAAAAUGACUUGUUCACUUGCAAUUUUCAAGCAAAAUUGGUGGUUUAAAAGGUGAUUUUGGAUAUUGGCUAUUAAAAGACCAAUUCAACUGUGCACACAAGUUUGUAUUGGUCAAAUAAACUUGCACCAACAGUCCAAACACACAGAAUUACUCAAAUGCACAUAAUCACCAUGGCCGUUGUGAUAAUGCAACAAAAUGCAUUGAAAAUUGCAACAGAUUUGAAAAAAAAAUGCAGAGAAUCAAAGAUGGCUGGAUCAAAAGUUAAUCAAAAUUGGUCCUAAUAACUAGAUCUAGCUUGGAAAAGAUGAGCUAAAAGAAUUAAAAUGCCUAAAACACAUCAAAGAACUGAAGCACGGUGCAAAAGCUGCAAAAUAUGAUGACAAUUUGCUGAAAACAGAGAUUUGAUGAACUCAACUACUCUUUUUGUGAUUUAUUGAUGAAUUUUGAUUCUUAACACUUGAAACAUGUAUAGAAGCAUCACAUAAACUUGUCUCAAGUAUUAAAACACAUGAAUCUGGACAAAAAGAGUGUACACAUGAUCAAACCAGAAUUGAGUUUUGAUGCAGAUUUUGCAAAGUUAAACUCUCGGUCAAUGCUUUAAACUUCUUUGAUCAUAGCUAGGCACUGCCUCAUUGCUUUAUGUGAUCAAUAUACAGCUAUCACUGCACUGACUUUGCUUAAACGAAAAAAAAAAUUGAAAAGCUGAACAGAAUCAAAUCAUGAUAGUGAUAAAACGGCAAACGUUGCACAUGACUUUGACAGAAACUUGAAUUGAUGAAUUAAGAUGAAUUGAACUCAAACAAUGGAAAUGCACCAAUUAAAAUGAUCAACAAAGACAUAAGGAACAGUGAACGAAAGCAAGAGUUCACUCAAACAUGAAAUCAAAUCACAAAUUCAAUGUAACAGUACAUAUAGAACAGAACAUGACGGGAAAAAAUGAAAAACGAAUGGAAUGAGUGACUUAGCUCAUGCAGAACCACGUGGGCGUGCUGGCUCUGACUACCAAAUGAUAGGAAACAUCCUCCACGUUGAGAUGGAAGAGACUCCUCGAUCAGGUUUGGCAGCGGAAAUGGAGAAAGGUUGCAAUGGAUGAAACGCGCACAAGGUGUUUGAUAGAAUGGAUGAACGUGUUUUGGAUGUGGUAUGGUAUGAAGUUCUAGCUCAGACAGCUUUCCUAAGGGGAAAGAAGCUAAAGGAUGCAAAGCUAAAGCUAGCAAAGUUUGAACUUAAAGAAGAAUGGCCAAAAUUCAGCAGCAUUUCAUUACUAUCAUUCAAGUUAAUAUUUACACAUGAGGAAGCUCUCUUUUAUAGAAUAAGAGAGGCUAUGAAUCUUGCUAGGGAAGCUACUAAGAUUUACAAAGCAUGUGCAGCAGAAGCUUUGAUCCACGUGUGUUUCAAUUCCCAUGAGAAACUCAUUUAUCACGUGGAAAGCGUAGAGAAUGUGCUGCAACAAGGGGAAGCCACGGUUGGCUGCUUUGCACAUGGAAAAUGUGGAAAACGUGGCAGCUAGAUUGUAGAAAACAUGCUUCAAAUCAGCUACAUGGUUGGCUGCACAAUGCACUCCUACUUGCCUCCUUUGUGCUUCCUUGAUUGGCAAUCUUCCUAGGAUGUGUAGGCAUAAUUUCCUACUUUUAUUUGUAUCCUACAAAACAAUGUAAAUGGAUUAGAGAAUCUAUCUAAGACUUUAGAUAAGGAAAGUGUUUUGGAAAUCUUUUAUUGUACUUCCCUUUCUUUAGUCUUAGUUGUAGUUGAUGCUUCUUGGAUGGGAAGUCCCUUUAGCGGUUGCCAUCAUGAUCCCUAGACGAAAAAUUGAAAACAAUUGGUAAAUUGAAGGAAACUUAAAGACAAUGGAAAAGUAAAGGUGAGGUCUCCUGGGUGAGGCUUAGACUUUGGAUCUAAGACACACUCACCGUCUACCAAUUUUUAGGUUAUGAGACUUUAAGUCAAGUUAGCAAAUGAGAGAAGAACACUUAUGAGCUCUUCCACCUCACUUGCUUGAAAUGGCUCACUUACAAAAAUUGAAGAAAGAAACAAAAUACAAGGUGAAGAACACAAAGAAAUGAAAAUAGAAAAUAAUAAGGAAGUUUUAAUGUGGCAGCUUUAGUUGCUCUCAAUCAAAAUCUGAUGCAGCAAUUAACAUCUCAAUAGGCUCACAGCUGCAAAGUGGAGUUUCUCUGCUGAGACAGUGAUCACACAGGAAUUCUGCUGUCACGCUGCAAUGAUUUCACUAGCUGCAGCAGCACAAUUUCUCCAUUCCCGUCAGCCUUUCCUUGUGGCUUGUGUAAUCAAUCUCCUAACUUCCUUUGAUGCUUCCUUGCAUGUAUGGAGUCUGAGUUAAAGCACACCUACAUAGCAGGCCAGUUCAGAACUUACACUGCAUCAUGCUACUGCCCGUAAUUACAACAUAGACUGACACCAACACAUAACCUUUUAUCAAACAGGUUGUGUGCAAGAGUUCCAAAAAAUUUUAACAUCAAAUAAUUAAGCAGGUUUUAAUCACGGAAGCACUUCAAAAGGAUCCUAGGAAUAGCUCUAGAUUAGAUUGGACGGACAUCAAUGAAUAACAGCAAGCAAUUGGACCAGAAAAGCAGUUUUCAAAAAAUAUCACAAACUGUUUGUGAUAAUGCUUCAAAGAGCAGUCAACAUUAUGCAGAAUUGGUUAAUUCAGUCUCGGCAAUAACACUUUACUGAAUGCAUUGGUUAAUUUGACUUUUUUAUUGUUUGGAUCUUCUAAAUGAUAUUUUACAGAACCAAGCUUUUACUACAUCCAAAAAUUAACGAAUCAACCAAAUUCAAUUUGACAAACAGAAUGUAUUACUGCACUACUACGGUCUCAACAGGAAUUGACUCAAAAAUUGCAAGUCACAUAGGCAUUUUGCAUAUAACAGCAAUUGGUCAGCUUAGACAGCUUCAAACAUGUUUGAAUGAUUAAAACAAACUUAUUUGAGCACAAUUUCAGUUACAAUUCAUAGCAUAUCAGAAUUGGAGUAUGGCAGUUCUGAUUUAAGUCAUUUUAAACAACUAUGACAGCCAAAUUUUGAAAACAAUUGUAAUUCAACUCAAACACAACAAGAGUGAACUUAGGACAAUCAAAUAAAAUUGCUCAAAGUGGCAGAAAAUGAUUUAGAUGGCUGGAUAUGAUCUAAAGUACUUUAGCCAGUUUUACACGCAGAAAGUAAUCAACUAAGUCAAGUGCAGAUCGAUUAACUGCAAGUAUCAAAGUAUUCUGACUUUGCACACUCAUUUCAUGCCUAAAACAAUUUUCAUUAUGGAACAACUUUCAUGUAACACGAGAAUUAUGUAGAAACAAGUCACUUAACAGCUCCAAACAAUGAAACAGUACACAUAACAAUUGUAGGCAAUGAAACAGUACCACUGAAUUUCAAAAUCAGAUGCAGUGUGAUCUGUUAUGGAUCUACUGAAUUCUCAAAGAUUAUCACCAAUUCAUACACAUGAGCUCAUCAUCUCAAUUGUCAUCGCUCAUAUAUUGUCAGAGACAUGUAUCUCAUAUAGAUUUUCAGUACAAACGCAGAUCACACGGUUUUCAACCAGAUUUUAAACAAAAAUGGAAUUGCACAUGACAUAUGACAUAACAGGAUGGAUGCUCAAAUUAAAAAUGACUCAACCAAAAAUUUCAACCGAUUAAAAUGAAAAGACUCAAUCAAUUAAAAAAAAUAGCACGGUUCAAGACUCAAAGAUCCUAAAAAUGUCAAAACCAAUGAAACAGUAACAGGAAUCAACAGAGACAGUGAAGGAAUGGUGGUGACAGAAUUUAAAUUGCAGAAAGAUGAACUUAUCUCACGGCUCCAGCAUCCUUGCUCUGAAUACCACUUCAUGAGCCACGUAUGGAGAUAGAUCUGCUGAACCGAGAGAAGUUCCAAGAAACAGAGAAGUUGCUGGAUGUCAAGAACACUACGUCAGACUUCAAGCAGAAUCACAGGCAACGGAAGUGAUGUCCAUGGCAGUGGAUGGAUAUGCGAUCUAUGGAGAUAUGGAAACGGAAGCUAUGCUUAGGAGGUGACUACAACUCAGGCAGCCUUCCAUACAAGGAAGGAAGUUGUAGGGAAAGAUUUAAGCUAGGAAUGACUUUCAGAAGGAGAGAUGGCCAAAGCAAAUCUCAGCAGAAAUUCUCAUUUAUCUAAAAGUGAUUUUACAUAUGCUGCAAGAUGGAUUUAUAGGAAAUCCAAUGAGCUAUGUGUGCUGUAGAUGGAUUCCGAGAGAAAUGGAUCUCCAUCCA
Molecule: long non-coding RNA, 5461 nt
Filed under: Vigna radiata
Lineage: Eukaryota; Viridiplantae; Streptophyta; Magnoliopsida; Fabales; Fabaceae
Description: long non-coding RNA (VRAD_LNC001236)
Source: RNAcentral